GCCGGGUGUGGUGGUGCAUGCCUGUAAUCCCAGCUACUUGGGAGGCUGAGGCAGGAGAAUCACUUGAACCUGGGAGGCAGAGGUUGCAGUGAGCUGAGAUUGCGCCACUGCACUCCAGCCUGGGUGACAGAGCGAGACUCUGUCUCAA
This is a non-coding RNA of Homo sapiens (human), 148 nucleotides long. It matches the Rfam family "Metazoan signal recognition particle RNA". Rfam says of the family: The signal recognition particle (SRP) is a universally conserved ribonucleoprotein. It is involved in the co-translational targeting of proteins to membranes. NCBI's taxonomy places the organism in Eukaryota, Metazoa, Chordata, Mammalia, Primates, Hominidae. The record is from Rfam.